CCUUCGGGUGCGAGUAAAGUGGCGGACGGGUGAGUAACGCGUGGGAAUCUGCCUAGUAGUGGGGGACAACAAUCGGAAACGGCUGCUAAUACCGCAUACGCCCUACGGGGGAAAGGCUUCGGCCGCUAUUAGAUGAGCCCGCGUAAGAUUAGCUUGUUGGUGGGGUAAUGGCCUACCAAGGCGACGAUCUUUAGCUGGUCUGAGAGGACGAUCAGCCACACUGGGACUGAGACACGGCCCAG
This 242-nucleotide ribosomal RNA is filed under the name uncultured bacterium. RNAcentral's name for it is "partial 16S ribosomal RNA". It matches the Rfam family "Bacterial small subunit ribosomal RNA", at positions 77 to 334 of the family's 1533-position model. The record is from RNAcentral.